GCAUUUCAGUUCUGCAUGGCAACACUGUUUGUAGUGGCCUGUCCGUUAGCUCCUUUGUUGAUGUUCCUUCUAAAUUUUUUUGAGUUAAGAUACAUUGCAAGUCAAUUAAUAAUGACUAGUAGACGUCCAUUACAUAUAAGAAAACCUGGGAUAGGAGUAUGGAAUAAAAUAUUUACCUUCAUAGCAUACGCGUCAAUAAUAACCAACGUUGCUACUUUAAUAUUUACUACAAGACUUAUUUUGAGAUAUUAUAUGGAACUUGAAAAAAUCCGCACGAAACAUAUUUUCGAAAAUAUUAUCACCU
Long non-coding RNA from Vanessa tameamea, 304 nucleotides. RefSeq lists it as uncharacterized. The transcript is spliced from 3 exons. NCBI's taxonomy places the organism in Eukaryota, Metazoa, Arthropoda, Insecta, Lepidoptera, Nymphalidae. The record is from RefSeq and is a predicted model, not a curated record.